This 2065-nucleotide small RNA is filed under the name Pongo abelii (Sumatran orangutan). RNAcentral describes it as "retained intron". Lineage: Eukaryota; Metazoa; Chordata; Mammalia; Primates; Hominidae. The record is from RNAcentral.
CCUUGUAAACCAGAAUCGCUUUGGAGAGGCCUCGGGGGCAGGUGCCAUUUGCAGUUCUGGUGUUUUCCGUAGGUUGUGUGUGUGGCUUGGGUGCCCUGUCCCCUGGAGGAAGGAGUGUCUGGUAGCUGCUCUUCAGCCUCUGGUGAGCCGCACCUCCCGCCAUCCCAGCCCCACCCAGCAGGUUGGCUUGGAGUGAGGCGAUUACUUUGUACCUAGACUCUGACAUAAAAGCUGUUAGCUCAGAUUUUUCAACUUAAAAAUGCAAGCCGGGUGCAGCGGCUCAUGCCUAUAUUCCCAGCACUUUGGGAGGCCGGGGCAGGAAGAUGGCUUGAGCCCAGGAGUUGGAGACCAGCCUGGCCAACACAGCGAGAAUCUGUCUCUAACAAGAUGUUUUUUACAUUAGCUAGGUGUGGUGCCGCACAUCUGCGGUCUCAGCUUCUCUGGAGGAUCGCCUGAGCCCGGGAGUUCGAGGCUGCAGUGAGCUGUGACUGUGCCACUGCACUCCAGCCUGGGUGACAGAGUGAGACCCUGUCUCUAAAAAUUAAAAUUAAAAUGCAAACUUCAAUGUGCCAAAAUGUUGUUUUUUAGACAUGCAAGAAAGCACUUCAGCCAAGCAGAAGGGAGCCAGCUGGAUGAGGUGCGCCAGGCCAUGGGCAUGCUGGCCUUCCCACCCGACACGCACAUCUCCCCGUACAAGGACCUCCUGGACCCUGCACGGUGGCGGAUGCUGAUCCAGCAGUUCCGGUACGACAACUACCGACUACACCAGCUGGGAAACAACUCUGUGUUCACCCUCACGCUGCAGGCCGGCCUCUCAGCCAUCAAGACACCACAGUGCUACAAGGAGGAUGGCAGCUCCAAGAGCCCUGACUGCCCUGUGUGCAGCCGCUCCCUGAACAAGCUGGCGCAGCCCCUGCCCAUGGCCCACUGUGCCAACUCCCGCCUGGUCUGCAAGAUUUCUGGCGACGUGAUGAACGAGAACAACCCGCCCAUGAUGCUGCCCAACGGCUACGUCUACGGCUACAAUUCUCUGCUUUCUAUCCGUCAAGAUGAUAAAGUCGUUUGCCCGAGAACCAAAGAAGUCUUCCACUUCUCACAGGCCGAGAAGGUGUACAUCAUGUAGGCCCCAUGUCGUGAAGCGCACGCCUCGGGGACGGGCUGCGGCGGGCGGGGAGGCCACGCCUUCCUCCUGUCCCUCGCUCCAGCCUGCCACGGCGUUUCUGUUUCUUGCGACCAAAGAUCAGUGAGCAAUGAUAAAUACUCUUAGGAAGAGAGAAAAUAAGGUUUAAUAAGUUUGUACUUGAAAACAUUUUGAUUGGUAGGAUUUUGUAACACGUCAACCAUUUGAUGCUUCGGAAAAGUACUUUCAACUUGCGAAGGAAACUUUUCUUUAAAGACUGACCUAAACACCGAGGGAAACUUUAGAACGUUUAAAAUAUAGGAGUCCGUGAUUUCCCUGUGUUUUCAGUUUCUUUCCUUCUGUGAACGAUGAGACUUGGAGAACGGGCUGGUCCUUCACCGCUUUCUGUUGGCCCUGGCCCGGCCGGGGAAGGUGGCAGCGGCACUGGACUGACCUGCAGUGACCCGUGAUGCCGCGCCACGAGGGACACUUAUGGCUUCAUUCGAGAGCUGCUGCCAAAACGCCUGGCGCCGCCACCGUCGGGCCGGCUUCGAGGACACCCGCCUGCCUCGCGGGCCGUGUCCGCGGGACUGUGUUCGUACGUGCGUAGUUUCGAUAUCACAUCGCGGGGCUGUGUUCGUACGUGCGUAGUUUCAAUAUCACACCCUCUGUGUGCCGCCUUACUUCCUGCUUCGAGAAUGUAUAACGUGGAAAUCCACGGGACCAAGUUUCUGCAGAGGCCUUGCCGGAUGGUUCCACAACUGUAGAGUCUAAUUACUAUCCAUUACAGAAAUUAAUCGUUCAGUUGAAAGAAGUACUGAUGACUUUUCAAAACAAAUGAACCACCGUAGCUGACAGAGAACCGUAUCGUAGAGGUUUGUAGUUAGUGCUUAUUUUUGCAUGUUGAUGUUGACUAGCUAAUAAACUGUAAAUGUAAACCAUGCG